RNAcentral lists this ribosomal RNA (459 nucleotides) under uncultured bacterium. RNAcentral describes it as "partial 16S ribosomal RNA". It matches the Rfam family "Bacterial small subunit ribosomal RNA", at positions 338 to 795 of the family's 1533-position model. The record is from RNAcentral.
CCUACGGGUGGCUGCAGUGAGGAAUAUUGGUCAAUGGGCGCGAGCCUGAACCAGCCAAGUAGCGUGAAGGAUGACUGCCCUAUGGGUUGUAAACUUCUUUUAUAAAGGAAUAAAGUGAGGCACGUGUGCCUUUUUGUAUGUACUUUAUGAAUAAGGAUCGGCUAACUCCGUGCCAGCAGCCGCGGUAAUACGGAGGAUCCGAGCGUUAUCCGGAUUUAUUGGGUUUAAAGGGAGCGUAGAUGGGUUGUUAAGUCAGUUGUGAAAGUUUGCGGCUCAACCGUACCGUGCCGUUGAAACUGUGGGACUUGAGUAUGCGCAGGGUACAUGGAAUUCGUGGUGUAGCGGUGAAAUGCUUAGAUAUCACGAAGAACUCCGAUCGCGAAGGCAUUGUACCGGAGCAAGACUGACGCUGAGGCUCGAAAGUGCGGGUAUCAAACAGGAUUAGAUACCCGUGUAGUC